This 64-nucleotide transfer RNA is filed under the name Epitonium scalare. RNAcentral describes it as "tRNA-Trp". The record is from RNAcentral. Lineage: Eukaryota; Metazoa; Mollusca; Gastropoda; Epitoniidae.
UUUAAGUUAUUACAAACUAUAAGCCUUCAAAGCUUACAAUGAAUUUAAGUUCAAAUCUUGAACU